Pelobates cultripes (western spadefoot toad) is the source of this 79-nucleotide non-coding RNA. Lineage: Eukaryota; Metazoa; Chordata; Amphibia; Anura; Pelobatidae. The record is from the annotation of a GenBank genome assembly.
UUGUUAUGAUGAUGCAGAGUGUGGUUUCAAUUUUCUCUGAAAAGAAAUGAAGCUAUUUUUCUCUUGGCUGUCUGAACAA